This 465-nucleotide ribosomal RNA is filed under the name uncultured bacterium. RNAcentral's name for it is "partial 16S ribosomal RNA". It matches the Rfam family "Bacterial small subunit ribosomal RNA", at positions 28 to 507 of the family's 1533-position model. The record is from RNAcentral.
GACGAACGCUGGCGGCGUGCUUAACACAUGCAAGUCGUACGGUAGGGCCCUUUCGGGGGUACACGAGUGGCGAACGGGUGAGUAACACGUGAGUAACCUGCCCACAACUUUGGGAUAACGCUAGGAAACUGGUGCUAAUACUGGAUAUGUGCUCCUGCUGCAUGGUGGGGGUUGGAAAGCUCCGGCGGUUGUGGAUGGACUCGCGGCCUAUCAGCUUGUUGGUGGGGUAGUGGCCUACCAAGGCGGCGACGGGUAGCCGGCCUGAGAGGGUGACCGGCCACAUUGGGACUGAGAUACGGCCCAGACUCCUACGGGAGGCAGCAGUGGGGAAUAUUGCACAAUGGGCGCAAGCCUGAUGCAGCAACGCCGCGUGCGGGAUGACGGCCUUCGGGUUGUAAACCGCUUUCAGCAGGGACGAAGCUUUUUGUGACGGUACCUGCAGAAGAAGCACCGGCUAACUACGUG